CCCUUAGAUGUUCUGGGCCGCACGCGCGCUACAAUGAUGAAUUCAACGAGUUUAUAACCUUGGUUGAAAAGCCUGGGUAAUCUUUUGAACUUUCGUCGUGAUGGGGCUAGACCCUUGCAAUUAUUGGUCUCCAACGAGGAAUUCCUAGUAAACGCAAGUCAUCAGCUUGCAUUGAUUACGUCCCUGCCCUUUGUACACACCGCCCGUCGCACCUACCGAUUGAAUGGUCCGGUGAAAUCUUCGGAUUGAGACUUUGAUUUCUUCACGGAAAGCGCUGUUUUAAAAAGUUGAUUAAACCUUACCAUUUAGAGGAAGGUGAAGUCGUAACA
RNAcentral lists this ribosomal RNA (329 nucleotides) under uncultured eukaryote. Its description in RNAcentral is "partial 18S ribosomal RNA". It matches the Rfam family "Eukaryotic small subunit ribosomal RNA", at positions 1470 to 1796 of the family's 1831-position model. The record is from RNAcentral.